Molecule: ribosomal RNA, 614 nt
Filed under: uncultured bacterium
Lineage: Bacteria
Description: bacterial SSU rRNA
Rfam family: Bacterial small subunit ribosomal RNA
Source: RNAcentral
UGCGUAACGCGUAUCGAACCUGCCUCAUACUCGGGGAUAGCCUUGCGAAAGUAAGAUUAAUACCCGGCGGUCUCGGAUGGCCGCAUGACUAUCCGAGUGAAGAUUUAUCGGUAUGAGAUGGCGAUGCGUCCCAUUAGCUUGUUGGUGAGGUAACGGCUCACCAAGGCAUCGAUGGGUAGGGGUUCUGAGAGGAAGGUCCCCCACAUUGGAACUGAGACACGGUCCAAACUCCUACGGGAGGCAGCAGUGAGGAAUAUUGGUCAAUGGACGAAAGUCUGAACCAGCCAAGUAGCGUGCAGGAAGACGGCCCUCUGGGUUGUAAACUGCUUUUAGUUGGGAAUAAAAAGAGGGACGUGUCCCUUAUUGUAUGUACCAUCAGAAAAAGGACCGGCUAAUUCCGUGCCAGCAGCCGCGGUAAUACGGAAGGUCCAGGCGUUAUCCGGAUUUAUUGGGUUUAAAGGGAGCGCAGGCGGCGGCGUAAGUCAGUUGUGAAAUCGUGCGGCUUAACCGUGCAAUUGCAGUUGAUACUGCGUCGCUUGAGUGCACACAGGGAUGUUGGAAUUCAUGGUGUAGCGGUGAAAUGCUUAGAUAUCAUGAAGAACUCCGAUCGCGAA